AGAAAGAGCAAAGAUGAACUUUUUCCAUAAUCAUACGGCAGAUCUGUACCAAAGAGCCUAUGGACAAUUCAUGAAUGAUAGGGUUCCUAUAUGCUCGAUGACAGAUCUACACAAAGAGGCAUAUGGCAAUUCCAUGAAUGACCAGGUUCCUUUGAGCUCGAAGCACCUUCUGACCAAGAUCAAGGCUUUGUAUGCUAACACUCAAAAUCAUCAUGGUGGAGAAGGCACAAGUUCUAGAAAUC
This is a long non-coding RNA of Lolium rigidum, 242 nucleotides long. RefSeq lists it as uncharacterized. The transcript is spliced from 3 exons. The record is from RefSeq and is a predicted model, not a curated record. NCBI's taxonomy places the organism in Eukaryota, Viridiplantae, Streptophyta, Magnoliopsida, Poales, Poaceae.